RNAcentral lists this unclassified non-coding RNA (230 nucleotides) under Hevea brasiliensis (rubber tree). The record is from RNAcentral. Lineage: Eukaryota; Viridiplantae; Streptophyta; Magnoliopsida; Malpighiales; Euphorbiaceae.
AUAAAUCUUCAGCAAAUAAAUGGAUAACAAGAACAGCUAACCUACAAAAUUAUUAAUACUAAAUCUGGUUGAUGCAAGUGUAGAAGGCUUGAGGAAAAUCAUAAAAAGGUUAAGGUUGCAUCUUUUGUUAACAGGAUUAGAAAUGCAGAAAAAACAAAGGAACGAAAAAAAAGGGAAGGGAAGUCAAGCUCACAGGAAAAACUCACCAAGUCCUUGAGGGAAGCAAUUGA